RNAcentral lists this long non-coding RNA (309 nucleotides) under Manihot esculenta (cassava). RNAcentral describes it as "long non-coding RNA (MESC_LNC001491)". Lineage: Eukaryota; Viridiplantae; Streptophyta; Magnoliopsida; Malpighiales; Euphorbiaceae. The record is from RNAcentral.
GAUAGACCCCUGAGGCGGUCCACUCGGUCGAUCAUCAAGAAUAAAAAGUAUUUAAAUUAAAUAUGCUGAUAUGUUUAUUCUGCAGUAUUUAUUCGUUAUUUUUUAGUUGUUUACUUAGUCAUAUUUGGUGUUAACAAAUCAUGGCUAGAAUUUCUCAUGAGUGCCGUUUGUGGCCAUUAAGUUAGGAAUAAGUUGUUGAGUCUUUUCCUAUUUAAAUUCUUUGUAGCUGCAGCAGUAAAGGGGAAAAAAAAAACCAGAAACUUCUUAUUUUUCUUAAUUAAUUUCUUAAGGCUUUGACUGGGACCUAUC